RNAcentral lists this long non-coding RNA (1672 nucleotides) under Homo sapiens (human). RNAcentral describes it as "HSALNT0167872". Lineage: Eukaryota; Metazoa; Chordata; Mammalia; Primates; Hominidae. The record is from RNAcentral.
UUCCAGGCUCAACUCAAACAUUACCUCAUCCCUCCAUGAAGUAUUCCAGAUGUUCACAGAAAGAAAUUUCGUUCUUUAUAGGUUUGAGGAACAGCAUUUGUUUUCAUGACAGAAUCGAACUCUGUUUCAGAGUUCAGAGACAUACUCACUUAUCCGGAAUUGACAGCAAAAGGAAGGAAUUCCAGAGAUACUUAACAUCUCAUGGAUGAUUAAUUUAUCAACUGAUGGGGUAAGAUAAAAAACACUAUUGAGACAUCUUGUGUUUCAGUAAGUGGGAGGGUAGGAUAAUAGAUGUUUAGCACCCUACAACCUUGCCAGAAUGAAGACACUGCCAAGCCUACAUAGAAGGAGCAAGAGAGAUGCAUUGGAAUAACCAGGCUUAAACAGAACAAAAUGGGACACAGUGGGCAGGAACUGGGUUAAUAUGAUCUCACUGCAUGAGGAAACCGUCACUUAAAGUUACCCUAAGACACUUUGGAUGAACAUAAAAACAUGAUCUUUAUGUUUUAUCUCCAGCUCAGGAUGAACAGACUGGAGAAAGAGCAUGGAUUAGCUUCAGCAUCUCUAGGAAAUCAAAUCUUUGGAGGACUGGACUAUGUAGGGUGAUGCUAUGGCCUAAGACACUCUUUUCAGCCCACUGUCUAUUUUUCCAGCAGGCCUUUCUUUCUGCAAUAGAGCAAAAAAAAUUCCUUAGCUAUGAUCAAUGUCUAUUUUGGACAAAGGCUCUGAGAAUGGCAAUCACAUCUUACUACAAAUGAAAGCCUUUGUGUGGAUCUCCCUAGGAAGUUAGGAAUUUUAUACUCAUCUCUAUAAAAACUACUACUUUUAUGUAAGUGUGUAUUUCUCAUAGUGACUAGUACAUGCCUGAGCAUAUAGGGAUCUUUACACAAAGUACACUCAUUGAAGUACAAAUGAACUCUGUAGGCUCAGCUAGGUUCAGGUGACCAGUCACUGUCUAGUGAAUAAGGGGGUAAAACUGGAAGACUAUGGAUGAGAAAAUCAAACAUUUAUGUGAUGUGAAUACUUUCUUCCUUUAUCAAAAGACUGCCAACAUUCAGCAGGCAAGAAUACAAGAACUCUUAAAGUGAUGGGGCCUUCCUUUUGGCCAAGAACUAAGACUAUCUAAGAAACCAAACCACCUGUCCAAAUUUGGGUACAUUAGCCUACGUCUUCUGUGCCUUAGGGCUUAAUAAUAAUUUUUACCUGUCCUACUGACAAGAAAGACAGAUUUUUAAAAAUAUAGGAAAUAGACUAACUAUGAUAUCUGAUUCAAAUCUAACCAUGUCUAAAACAAGCCACAUAAAAUUCAUAUAUAAAUCAAAUGUAUAUAUCCUUAAUCUUGAUAUGCGAUAGAUCCAUCUCACUUGUAGUUGGCAGAAUUCAUAGAUGGACCCACAUUCCUACUCCAUUGGAUAGUCCUCUUCCCCUCUACAGGCAGAACCUGUGAAUAUGAUGAGAUAGUUACUCCUUUGAUUAGGUUAUGUUAUAUUUGACAAGUGGUGAUGGGAUAGUCACUUCUAUUAUUAUUUUACAUGAUGUAAGACUUCCUUAUAGCAGACUGGAGUGGAAUUAAGAAGUCAGAGAGAUGCACUCCUGCUGCCUGGAUGAAAGCAAAUAGGUUUGUGUAAACUGCCAUGGAGCCAUGAGGGAAGGAAUGGAGGUCACCUCUAGG